CGAAAACUGCACAAUGUGGGAAACCACGAUGCGGGAAACCCAAGUGCCAGCACUAUGUGUUGGCUGUCCUCGACUGUUCGUAAGCCGGGAAGAAAGUGCUGGGUAAGACGGGUGCCAGCCGCCGCGGUAAUACCCGCAGCACAAGUGGUGGUCAUUAUUAUUGGGCCUAAAGCGUCCGUAGCUGGCCUGUUAGAUGCCUGGGUAAAUCGAUGCGCUCAACGUAUCGAACUCCGGGUAGACCGGCAGGCUCGAGACCGGGAGAGGUGUAGGCUACUCGCGGGGUAGGGGUAAAAUCCUGUAAUCCUGCGGGGAGGACCAGUGGCGAAGGCGCUACACUAGAACGGCUCUGACAGUGAGGGACGAAGCCCUGGGGCGCAAAC
RNAcentral lists this ribosomal RNA (380 nucleotides) under uncultured bacterium. RNAcentral's name for it is "bacterial SSU rRNA". It matches the Rfam family "Archaeal small subunit ribosomal RNA", at positions 342 to 724 of the family's 1478-position model. The record is from RNAcentral.